CAUGCAAGUCGAACGAUGAACCUCCUUCGGGAGGGGAUUAGUGGCGAACGGGUGAGUAACACGUGGGCAAUCUGCCCUGCACUCUGGGACAAGCCCUGGAAACGGGGUCUAAUACCGGAUACUGAUCAUCUUGGGCAUCCUGGAUGAUCGAAAGCUCCGGCGGUGCAGGAUGAGCCCGCGGCCUAUCAGCUUGUUGGUGAGGUAACGGCUCACCAAGGCGACGACGGGUAGCCGGCCUGAGAGGGCGACCGGCCACACUGGGACUGAGACACGGCCCAGACUCCUACGGGAGGCAGCAGUGGGGAAUAUUGCACAAUGGGCGCAAGCCUGAUGCAGCGACGCCGCGUGAGGGAUGACGGCCUUCGGGUUGUAAACCUCUUUCAGCAGGGAAGAAGCGCAAGUGACGGUACCUGCAGAAGAAGCGCCGGCUAACUACGUGCCAGCAGCCGCGGUAAUACGUAGGGCGCGAGCGUUGUCCGGAAUUAUUGGGCGUAAAGAGCUCGUAGGCGGCUUGUCGCGUCGGUUGUGAAAGCCCGGGGCUUAACCCCGGGUCUGCAGUCGAUACGGGCAGGCUAGAGUUCGGUAGGGGAGAUCGGAAUUCCUGGUGUAGCGGUGAAAUGCGCAGAUAUCAGGAGGAACACCGGUGGCGAAGGCGGAUCUCUGGGCCGAUACUGACGCUGAGGAGCGAAAGCGUGGGGAGCGAACAGGAUUAGAUACCCUGGUAGUCCACGCCGUAAACGGUGGGCACUAGGUGUGGGCAACAUUCCACGUUGUCCGUGCCGCAGCUAACGCAUUAAGUGCCCCGCCUGGGGAGUACGGCCGCAAGGCUAAAACUCAAAGGAAUUGACGGGGGCCCGCACAAGCGGCGGAGCAUGUGGCUUAAUUCGACGCAACGCGAAGAACCCUUACCAAGGCUUGACAUACACCGGAAASMUCURGAGAYRGRKSCCCCCYCUUUGUGUCGGUGUACAGGUGGUGCAUGGCCUGUCGUCAGCUCGUGUCGUGAGAUGUUGGGAUUAAGUCCGCAACGAGCGCAACCCUUGUCCCGUGCUGCAGCAGAUCCUUGUGUGCUGGGGACUCACGGCAGACCGCCGGGGUCAACUCGAGUAAGGUGGGUACGAACGUUCAAGUCAAUCCAKUGACCU
This 1145-nucleotide ribosomal RNA is filed under the name Streptomyces sp. RNAcentral's name for it is "bacterial SSU rRNA". It matches the Rfam family "Bacterial small subunit ribosomal RNA", at positions 54 to 1201 of the family's 1533-position model. Lineage: Bacteria; Bacillati; Actinomycetota; Actinomycetes; Kitasatosporales; Streptomycetaceae. The record is from RNAcentral.